This 369-nucleotide ribosomal RNA is filed under the name uncultured bacterium. Its description in RNAcentral is "bacterial SSU rRNA". It matches the Rfam family "Bacterial small subunit ribosomal RNA", at positions 525 to 896 of the family's 1533-position model. The record is from RNAcentral.
ACGGAGGAUGCGAGCGUUAUCCGGAUUUAUUGGGUUUAAAGGGUGCGUAGGCGGAUUAAUAAGUCAGUGGUGAAAACCUUCAGCUUAACUGGAGACUUGCCAUUGAUACUGUUAGUCUUGAGUACGGUCAAGGUAGGCGGAAUGUGUAAUGUAGCGGUGAAAUGCUUAGAUAUUACACAGAACACCGAUUGCGAAGGCAGCUUACUGGGCCAAUACUGACGCUGAGGCACGAAAGCGUGGGGAGCGAACAGGAUUAGAUACCCUGGUAGUCCACGCCGUAAACGAUGAUCACUCGCUGUUGGCGAUACACAGUCAGCGGCUAAGCAAAAGCAUUAAGUGAUCCACCUGGGGAGUACGGCCGCAAGGCUG